ACAGAAGCAGCCAGUGUUAAAGGCAGGUGGUGACACAACCCAUUACUGGUCUGGGUGAUCCCCCAAAGCAUCCCACUGAUACACUCAGAAGCGUCAAACACACCUGUAUUUUCAUUUGGCUUAGGAGAUGCUGGUAAAACAUCAUUGUAAUUUUUCUUAAGAAUUCAAAGACGCCAAGACCCUGGAAGCAUCUGCGUGACUUGGAUUGCCCCAAGAGUUGGCGCCUUGAGCAGGCAAUCGUUCAGUUGCCAGUGUAUGGGUGCCUAGGAUCUGAGCACCGCUCUGGAAUCCUUCAUGGUGUGCAGUACCUCGUUGUUUUUUGCUGCAAAUAACUUCUCGCCAUCGAAGGGGAGAUUCUCCACGAUGUUUUGUAUCUUGCGUGGGAAAGAAAAAGAGGUAAACCAUGAAGCCCGAUGCAUCACUAUGGCUGUUGCGGUGGAUCUGGCAGCUGUGUCUGCAGCAUUGAGGGCAGCCUGCAAUGCC
Molecule: long non-coding RNA, 483 nt
Organism: Mauremys mutica (yellowpond turtle)
Lineage: Eukaryota; Metazoa; Chordata; Testudines; Geoemydidae
Exons: 4
Source: RefSeq, a predicted model, not a curated record